Molecule: ribosomal RNA, 250 nt
Filed under: Pneumocystis jirovecii
Lineage: Eukaryota; Fungi; Ascomycota; Pneumocystomycetes; Pneumocystales; Pneumocystaceae
Description: partial large subunit ribosomal RNA
Rfam family: Bacterial large subunit ribosomal RNA
Source: RNAcentral
CAAAGUACUCAGAAGAAUUGUGGUAAGUAGUGAAAUACAAAUCGGACUAGGAUAUAGCUGGUUUUCUGCGAAAAUUGUUUUGGCAAAUUGUUUAUUCCUCUUAAAAAUAGUAGGUAUAGCACUGAAUAUCUCGAGGGAGUAUGAAAAUAUUUAUCUCAGAUAUUUAAUCUCAAAAUAACUAUUUCUUAAAAUAAAUAAUCAGACUAUGUGCGAUAAGGUAGAUAGUCGAAAGGGAAACAGCCCAGAACAG